UGGUGCCCAAAUAGAAAAUUUUCUCGAAAAGUUUCCCUCCUUUUUGUGUAAACAAACUGGCAGCAGCAAGUGGGGGUAAAAUUUUGGUCCCCACUUUCUCUCUCAUUAAUCUUUAGUCACUUCAUCUUAUUUUUGUUAAUGUAAUUUUAUCGAGCGAUUUUCAUAGAUAAUGCUAAAAAAAAAAAUAAUUCCGAAUAUAUGUCAGUUUUAAAACUAUUUCCUGUGAUACCGAACACAUAGGCUUAGUGAAGGUUUGUAAAAAAAGAACCGCUAAUGUUAUUAGCAGUUUAUCUUAAAAUGCUCACUAACUUGUGGGAAAUUUAAAAAUAUUAAGCCUUCAUCUUCCACCAAAGCCAAAUACAAAAAGGCAUGACACCACUCCACUCCUUCAUAUCUUUAGUUAUAAAAUUGCAACUCCAUACUCUAAAGCUACCUACUACUCCAAAUUGCCGUCGAAACCACCUACCACCUGUUAUUUCCGCCGCCGCCGUCGACCGAGCAUCUAUGUGCAGGAACUCAAUUCACCCAUCUUUCUCCUGAUUGAAAGGUGAUUAUGACUCGACUCAACCCGAGAUUGAUGUGCAAGUCAUUGAUGAUGUUGGGGUAGAUACUGAUGAUGGUGAAGAUGACGAGGUAAGAGAGGCUAACAAAGUUGCUAUCAAAGCAAGUGCACCUUCACAUGAAUUCAACAAUGUUCCUGAGUUUGACUAAAAGUUAAUUGAUUCUUGGAGAACAUGGUCAGGGAACAACACAUAUGCUGGUAAUGCAAUGACGACAAUGGCGCAAGGACUUGAUACAAACCCACCUCUCAUUUUCCCCUUUUCGAAAUGAUUUUUCCUGAAGAACUUACUCCUCCUUCAAUGGUGGACAAUCGAGGAGGUCCUCGCCUCUCUCCAGCUACUUCAAUGGCGUCGUCAUCGAAUUUUUCUUUACAAACUCAAGCUCUAUUGCCUCAUCAUUUUACUCGGUAGAGUGAUCAAAUUGGAUGACAUGGCAAAAGAGAUUGUCAAAAUGGUGGAAGACAGCCUCGGAAUUGAGAUCAAAGUUGCAGCAACUCGGAAAAGAGUUGGAAGAUGUAAAUUAUUUAACACUAAUUUAGAGAAAAAUCAUUUAAUUCUUAUUAGUCUUAAGUAAACUUGUUUAUUUUUGUUAUAAUUGAGAUUUAUUUUAGCUCUUCUAAUAAGUUUUAGGUAUUAGUUAAUUGUAUAUUAAUUGUAUUCUAUAUUUGUAUAAAAAAUAAAUCUCUCAAUAAUUGACAAAAUGGUGUGCAAGGCUGAAAGCAAGCUG
Long non-coding RNA from Chenopodium quinoa (quinoa), 1287 nucleotides. RefSeq lists it as uncharacterized. The transcript is spliced from 5 exons. Lineage: Eukaryota; Viridiplantae; Streptophyta; Magnoliopsida; Caryophyllales; Amaranthaceae. The record is from RefSeq and is a predicted model, not a curated record.